Molecule: ribosomal RNA, 599 nt
Filed under: uncultured bacterium
Lineage: Bacteria
Description: bacterial SSU rRNA
Rfam family: Bacterial small subunit ribosomal RNA
Source: RNAcentral
CCUACGGGAGGCAGCAGUUGGGAAUUUUGCACAAUGGACGAAAGUCUGAUGCAGCAACGCCGCGUGCGGGAUGAAGAUUUUCGGAUUGUAAACCGCUUUUAUUUGGGAGUAACUGUUUGAACGUACCAAAUGAAUAAGCACCGGCUAACUCCGUGCCAGCAGCCGCGGUAAUACGGAGGGUGCAAACGUUGUCCGGAAUUACUGGGCGUAAAGCGCAUGUAGGUGGUCUAAUAAGUGAACGAUUAAAUACCGACGCUUAACGUCGGAAAGGUUAUUCAUACUGUUAGACUCGAGGAAGACAGGGGCAGAUGGAACUUUAAGUGUAGGAGUGAUAUCCGUAGAUAUUUAAAGGAACACCAAUGGCGAAGGCAGUCUGCUGGGUCUUUUCUGACACUGAGAUGCGAAAGUGUGGGGAGCAAACGGGAUUAGAUACCCCGGUAGUCCACACUGUAAACGAUGCUCACUAGGUCUUGGAGGGUAUCGACCCCCUUUUGGACCCGAAGCUAACGCGUUAAGUGAGCCGCCUGGGGAGUACGAACGCAAGUUAAAACUCAAAUGAAUUGACGGCNGAGAGNGCGAGACGACGACGAGGGAGUUAG